GACGAACGCUGGCGGCGUGCUUAACACAUGCAAGUCGAACGGAAAGGCCCUGCUUUUGUGGUGUGCUCGAGUGUCGAACGGGUGAGUAACACGUGAGUAACCUGCCCUUGACUUUGGGAUAACUUCAGGAAACUGGGGCUAAUACCGGAUAGGAGCUCCUGCUGCAUGGGGGGGGUUGGAAAGUUUCGGCGGUUGGGGAUGGACUCGCGGGUUAUCAGCUUGUUGGUGGGGUAGUGGCUUACAAAGGCUUUGACGGGUAGCCGGCCUGAGAGGGUGACCGGCCACAUUGGGGCUGCGAGAGGGAGCAGACUCCUACGGGCGGCAGUAGUGGGGAAUAUUGCACAAUGGGCGGAAGCCUGAUGAAGCAACGCCGCGUGCGGGAUGACGGCCUGCGGGUUGUAAACCGCUUUCGCCUGUGACGAAGCGUGAGUGACGGUAAUGGGUAAAGAAGCACCGGCUAACUACGUG
RNAcentral lists this ribosomal RNA (468 nucleotides) under uncultured bacterium. RNAcentral describes it as "partial 16S ribosomal RNA". It matches the Rfam family "Bacterial small subunit ribosomal RNA", at positions 28 to 507 of the family's 1533-position model. The record is from RNAcentral.